UAGUCCCAACGUAUAUCGCGCUGUGUUGACCAAGACCGAGAACAAAGAAUUCUGUCAUGUUAUGUGGGUACGCGAAGGAUUCCGAAAAAAAAACAAAAAAAAACAUGGCUAACAGGAUGUUGCUGCCCAGGGAGUCUUGGCUGAAGAGGUCUACUCAUUCCAGAAGCAAGAAUUGUACCAUUGUAGAGCGAAUGGAAAUAAACGGGAGUAAUGGAUGUGCG
Long non-coding RNA from Ornithodoros turicata, 221 nucleotides. RefSeq lists it as uncharacterized. The transcript is spliced from 3 exons. NCBI's taxonomy places the organism in Eukaryota, Metazoa, Arthropoda, Arachnida, Ixodida, Argasidae. The record is from RefSeq and is a predicted model, not a curated record.